UGAAUACGAGACGCUAAGGCGUCGAAGUAGUGUAUGUCAUACUUCCAAGAAAAGCUUGCACUGUCAUAGAUAAAAAACGCCUGUACCAUAACCGACACAGGUGGGUAGGUAGAGUAUACUAAGGGGCGCGAGAUAACUCUCUCUAAGGAACUCGGCAAAAUAACUCCGUAACUUCGGGAGAAGGAGUGCCUUAUUCGUAAGGUUGCAAUAACAAGAUCCAAGCAACUGUUUAUCAAAAACACAGGUCUCCGCUAAGUCGUAAGACGAUGUAUGGGGGCUGACGCCUGCCCAGUGCCAGAAGGUUAAAGAAGUUGGUUAGCAAUUGCGAAGCUGAUAACUGAAGCCCUGGUGAACGGCGGCCGUAACUAUAACGGUCCUAAGGUAGCGAAAUUCCUUGUCGGGUAAGUUCCGACCCGCACGAAAGGCGUAAUGAUUUGGAUACUGUCUCGGAGAGGGGCUCGGUGAAAUAGACUUGUCUGUGAAGAUGCGGACUACCUGCACCAGGACAGAAAGACCCUAUGAAGCUUUACUGUAACUUGAAAUUGAAAUUGGACUUUAUUCGCGCAGUAUAGGUGGGAGGCGUUGAUUAUAAUCUUGUGGGAUUAUUGGAGCCAUCAGUGAGAUACCACUCUUGUAAUGUUAGAUUUCUAACUUUGAAUCAUUAUCUGGUCAAAGAACAGUUUCAGGCGGGCAGUUUGACUGGGGCGGUCGCCUCCUAAACGGUAACGGAGGCGUACAAAGGUUUCCUCUGAACGGUUAGAAAUCGUAUCUAGAGUGUAAAGGCAUAAGGAAGCUUGACUGUGAGACCUACAAGUCGAGCAGGGACGAAAGUCGGUCUUAGUGAUCUGACGGUACUGAGUGGAAAGGCCGUCACUCAACGGAUAAAAGUUACUCUAAGGAUAACAGGCUGAUCUCCCCCAAGAGUUCACAUCGACGGGGAGGUUUGGCACCUCGAUGUCGGCUCAUCGCAUCCUGGGGCGGUAGUACGUCCCAAGGGUUGGGCUGUUCGCCCAUGAAAGCGGUACGCGAGCUGGGUUCAGAACGUCGUGAGACAGUUCGGUCCAUAUCCGGUGUAGGCGUUAGAAUAUUGAGAGGAGCCUUCUUUAGUACGAGAGGACCGAGAAGGACAUACCUCUGGUGUACCAGUUAUCGUGCCAACGGUAAACGCUGGGUAGCUAUGUAUGGAGUGGAUAACCGCUGAAAGCAUCUAAGUGGGAAGCCCACCUC
This 1227-nucleotide ribosomal RNA is filed under the name metagenome. Its description in RNAcentral is "bacterial LSU rRNA". It matches the Rfam family "Bacterial large subunit ribosomal RNA", at positions 1564 to 2800 of the family's 2925-position model. The record is from RNAcentral.